Oreochromis aureus is the source of this 452-nucleotide long non-coding RNA. NCBI's taxonomy places the organism in Eukaryota, Metazoa, Chordata, Actinopteri, Cichliformes, Cichlidae. The record is from Ensembl.
AGACGAGACUUCGAUGCAGCGAGUGCGUUGUGUGGAAAUAGCCUUGCUAUCGCUAAUUCAACGGCUGAAUGGGGCACAAGUAGAGACCCAGGACGUGAGGACGUGCCAUUAGAACCAGUUAGUUGAAAAACACGCAUGUCCACUUGUGAUCACAGCGAAACAAUGAAGUCUGACCUUUACUGAUAAGAAAACAGCCUGCAGCUCCUUGGAUGCUUUCAUUGGAUAUCUUGUAACUUCCUGAAUGAGCAGUCACAGAAGGAAUUUUGGAUAAGCAGCCACUCCUGGGAAAGAGCAAAAGUAGAGACACGUUCAACUUCCCUUGAAAGGAGCUCCUCUGACGGCAAAGCUCUGCCAGAUGUCUCUUCAUGAUACAGCGACUGAUGCUUGAACACUUCUGAGAGGCAACUUGAAACCAGACCAUUGCGUGAAUUUGUCGUAUCGUUCCGCAGUCG